GCAAAACUAGGAGUGUUAGUGGUCUGAAUUGCAGUGCUGUGACCAAGGGAAAAUGGAGACAAUAUUAGAGCAGCAACGGCGCUAUCAUGAGGAGAAGGAACGGCUUAUGGAUGUUAUGGCCAAAGAGAUGCUUACUAAGAAGUCCACGCUUCGGGACCAGAUCAAUUCCGAUCACCGCACUCGGGCCAUGCAAGAUAGGUACAUGGAGGUCAGUGGGAACCUGAGGGAUUUAUAUGAUGACAAAGACGGACUACGAAAGGAGGAGCUCAAUGCUAUUUCAGGACCCAACGAGUUUGCUGAAUUCUAUAACAGACUCAAGCAGAUAAAGGAAUUUCAUCGGAAGCACCCAAAUGAGAUCUGUGUGCCAAUGUCAGUGGAAUUUGAGGAGCUACUGAAGGCUCGAAAGAAUGCAAGUGAAGAGGCACAAAACUUGGUGGAAUUCACAGAUGAAGAGGGAUAUGGUCGCUACCUUGAUCUCCAUGACUGCUACCUCAAGUACAUUAACCUGAAGGCAUCUGAGAAGCUGGAUUACAUCACAUACCUGUCCAUCUUCGACCAGUUAUUUGACAUUCCUAAAGAAAGAAAGAAUGCAGAGUAUAAAAGAUACCUGGAGAUGCUGCUGGAGUACCUACAGGAUUACACAGAUAGAGUGAAGCCCCUUCAGGAUCAGAACGAGCUUUUUGGGAAGAUUCAGACCGACUUUGAGAAGAAAUGGGAUAAUGGCACCUUUCCUGGAUGGCCGAAAGAGACAAGCAGCGCCUUGACUCAUGCAGGAGCCCAUCUUGACCUCUCUGUAUUCUCCUCCUGGGAGGAGUUGGCAUCCCUGGGUCUGGACAGGUUGAAAUCUGCACUGUUGGCUUUAGGCCUGAAGUGUGGUGGAACCCUAGAAGAACGAGCUCAGAGGCUCUUCAGCACCAAAGGAAAGUCCUUGGAGUCACUCGACACCUCUCUGUUUGCCAAAAAUCCCAAGUCAAAGGGCACAAAAAGAGACACUGAGAGGAACAAAGACAUUGCCUUCCUGGAAGCCCAGAUCUAUGAAUACGUGGAGAUUCUUGGGGAACAGUGACAGCUCACUCAUGAAAAUGUACAGCGCAAGCAAGCCAGGACAGGCGAGGAGCGGGAGGAGGAGGAGGAGGAGGAGCAGAUCAGUGAGAGCGAAAGUGAGGAUGAGAUCAUUUACAACCCCAAAAACCUGCCUCUGGUUUUGCUGGGAUGGCAAACCCAUCCCCUACUGGCUGUAUAAGCUUCACGGCCUGAACAUCAACUACAACUGUGAGAUUUGUGGAAACUACACCUACCGAAGGCCCAAGGCCUUCCAGCGGCACUUUGCGGAAUGGCGUCAUACUCAUGGUAUGAGGUGUUUGGGCAUCCCAAACACUGCCCACUUUGCAAAUGUGACACAGAUUGAAGAUGCUGUCUCCUUGUGGGCCAAGCUGAAACUGUAGAAGGCUUCAGAGCAAUGGCAGCCUGACACCGAGGAAGAAUAUGGAAGACUCCAGUGGAAAUGUUGUGAACAAGAAAACAUACGAGGAUCUGAAAAGACAAGGGCUGCUCUAGUAGUUGGCCGUGCCCAGGCUUCCCUGAGAAACCUGAGAAAAUUUUUCCCAACCAAAUGUUCUUAAAAGACUUUUUUGCUAUGUAGUAUCUACCUUAUAGAAACAAGACAUGCUGUCAGGUUGAGAGUUGAGAUGUGUUUUAUCUUUGUUUUAUAUUAAAAAGAUCUGUGGGAAAA
Molecule: RNA transcript, 1732 nt
Organism: Mastomys coucha (southern multimammate mouse)
Lineage: Eukaryota; Metazoa; Chordata; Mammalia; Rodentia; Muridae
Gene name: splicing factor 3A subunit 3 pseudogene
Exons: 1
Source: RefSeq, a predicted model, not a curated record